AGUGAACGCUGGCGGUAGGCCUAACACAUGCAAGUCGAACGGCAGCACAGUAAGAGCUUGCUCUUACGGGUGGCGAGUGGCGGACGGGUGAGGAAUACAUCGGAAUCUACUUUUUCGUGGGGGAUAACGUAGGGAAACUUACGCUAAUACCGCAUACGACCUACGGGUGAAAGCAGGGGAUCUUCGGACCUUGCGCGAUUGAAUGAGCCGAUGUCGGAUUGGCUAGUUGGCGGGGUAAAGGCCCACCAAGGCGACGAUCCGUAGCUGGUCUGAGAGGAUGAUCAGCCACACUGGAAGUGAGACACGGUCCAGACUACUAAGGGAGGCAGCAGUGGGGAAUAUUGGACAAUGGGGGCAAGCCUGGUCCAGCCAUACCGCGUGGGUGAAGAAGGCCUUCGGGUUGUAAAGCCCUUUUGUUGGGAAAGAAAAGCAGCAGGUUAAUACCCCGCUGUUCUGACGGUACCCAAAGAAUAAGCACCGGCUAACUUCGUG
This 492-nucleotide ribosomal RNA is filed under the name uncultured bacterium. Its description in RNAcentral is "partial 16S ribosomal RNA". It matches the Rfam family "Bacterial small subunit ribosomal RNA", at positions 29 to 507 of the family's 1533-position model. The record is from RNAcentral.